This 497-nucleotide ribosomal RNA is filed under the name uncultured bacterium. Its description in RNAcentral is "partial 16S ribosomal RNA". It matches the Rfam family "Bacterial small subunit ribosomal RNA", at positions 28 to 507 of the family's 1533-position model. The record is from RNAcentral.
GAUGAACGCUGGCGGCGUGCCUAAUACAUGCAAGUCGAGCGAACGGACGAGAAGCUUGCUUCUCUGAUGUUAGCGGCGGACGGGUGAGUAACACGUGGAUAACCUACCUAUAAGACUGGGAUAACUUCGGGAAACCGGAGCUAAUACCGGAUAAUAUUAUGAACCGCAUGGUUCAAAAGUGAAAGACGGUCUUGCUGUCACUUAUAGAUGGAUCCGCGCUGCAUUAGCUAGUUGGUAAGGUAACGGCUUACCAAGGCAACGAUGCAUAGCCGACCUGAGAGGGUGAUCGGCCACACUGGAACUGUGACACGGUCCAGACUCCUACGGGAGGCAGCAGUAGGGAAUCUUCCGCAAUGGGCGAAAGCCUGACGGAGCAACGCCGCGUGAGUGAUGAAGGUCUUCGGAUCGUAAAACUCUGUUAUUAGGGAAGAACAUAUGUGUAAGUAACUGUGCACAUCUUGACGGUACCUAAUCAGAAAGCCACGGCUAACUACGUG